Molecule: ribosomal RNA, 373 nt
Filed under: uncultured organism
Description: partial 16S ribosomal RNA
Rfam family: Bacterial small subunit ribosomal RNA
Source: RNAcentral
GUAGGUGGCAAGCGUUGUCCGGAAUUAUUGGGCGUAAAGCGCGCGCAGGCGGGUUCUUUAAGUCUGAUGUGAAAGCCCACGGGCUCAACCGUGGAGGGUCAUUGGAAACUGGAGAACUUGAGUACAGAAGAGGAAAGCGGAAUUCCACGUGUAACGGUGAAAUGCGUAGAGAUGUGGAGGAACACCAGUGGCGAAGGCGGCUUUCUGGUCUGUAACUGACGCUGAGGCGCGAAAGCGUGGGGAGCAAACAGGAUUAGAUACCCUGGUAGUCCACGCCGUAAACGAUGAGUGCUAAGUGUUAGGGGGUUUCCGCCCCUUAGUGCUGCAGCUAACGCAUUAAGCACUCCGCCUGGGGAGUACGGCCGCAAGGCUG